CUCCUUCGUCCCUUCGGUUCAGAGCGGAUGGUGAAAGAUGUCGACGGAGGACCGUGCUCUGCUUUCCACGGGAGGAGUCCCCUUGAUGAAAUAACUUGAUGUGAGAGAGAGACCUUGGAUGAAUCCAAUCCUGAGUGGAAGGUCCUGACAAGUCAACGGGUCGCUACUGGAAACAUGGUAUUCCUGUAGAGCAAGGUGGCCCAGGUGCUUGAGAGAAGCUAGGGGAGGCGAUGGAGACCAGGUGUUGCUACUGGAUCGGGAGAUGGCCAACGCUGGUGGAUUGUGGAGCUUCGUGUGGACUCUAAAAUGAAAUGAAUAAAGCCUGAUUGAAAUCA
Molecule: long non-coding RNA, 335 nt
Organism: Scleropages formosus (Asian bonytongue)
Lineage: Eukaryota; Metazoa; Chordata; Actinopteri; Osteoglossiformes; Osteoglossidae
Exons: 5
Source: RefSeq, a predicted model, not a curated record